UAGGGAAUCUUCGGCAAUGGGGGGAACCCUGACCGAGCAACGCCGCGUGAGUGAAGAAGGUUUUCGGAUCGUAAAGCUCUGUUGUUAAGGAAGAACGAGUGUGAGAAUGGAAAGUUCAUGCUGGGACGGUACUUAACCAGAAAGGGACGGCUAACUACGUGCCAGAAGCCGCGGUAAUACGUAGGUCCCGAGCGUUGUCCAGAUGUAUUGGGCGUAAAGCGAGCGCAGGCGGUUAUAAAAGUCUGAAGUGAAAGGCAGUGGCUCAACCCUUGUAGGCUUUGGAAACUGUUUAACUUGAGUGCAGAAGGGGAGAGUGGAAUUCCAUGUGUAGCGGUGAAAUGCGUAGAUAUAUGGAGGAACACCGGUGGCGAAAGCGGCUCUCUGGUCUGUAACUAACGCUGAGGCUCGAAAGCGUGGGGAGCAAACAGG
This 429-nucleotide ribosomal RNA is filed under the name Verrucomicrobiota bacterium. RNAcentral describes it as "Verrucomicrobia bacterium partial 16S ribosomal RNA". It matches the Rfam family "Bacterial small subunit ribosomal RNA", at positions 355 to 776 of the family's 1533-position model. The record is from RNAcentral. Lineage: Bacteria; Pseudomonadati; Verrucomicrobiota.